This 347-nucleotide unclassified non-coding RNA is filed under the name Hevea brasiliensis (rubber tree). Lineage: Eukaryota; Viridiplantae; Streptophyta; Magnoliopsida; Malpighiales; Euphorbiaceae. The record is from RNAcentral.
CAGCUGAUAGAAAUCACCAUACGAGAGCACAGGAAACUGCUCCUUGAUUGGCUCAAGAAGCUUCACGGCAAUAUCAAGCCCAUUGUUCGCCCCAUGCCCCAGCUCCUGCUUGUGCCUCAUCGUCCCGAACGGACCCCCGGUCUGCGACUUCGCAUCCCAUGUCCCCGCCGAGUGCCACGCCAAUCGGAGCAUGAGAGGAGCGCAGUUCUUCUCGGCGAUGAAGCCGCGGAGCUUGCGCCGGGCCUUCUCGACGGCCUUCUGGUACUCCUCGCUCACCGUCGGGUACGACUUCCCCAUCGCCGGCGAUCGAACGAUCCAAUUGAUUUCCUGGAAACCCUAGCUCUCAG